This 303-nucleotide ribosomal RNA is filed under the name Serratia marcescens. Its description in RNAcentral is "partial 16S ribosomal RNA". It matches the Rfam family "Bacterial small subunit ribosomal RNA", at positions 1 to 299 of the family's 1533-position model. Lineage: Bacteria; Pseudomonadati; Pseudomonadota; Gammaproteobacteria; Enterobacterales; Yersiniaceae. The record is from RNAcentral.
UUAAUUGAAGAGUUUGAUCAUGGCUCAGAUUGAACGCUGGCGGCAGGCUUAACACAUGCAAGUCGAGCGGUAGCACAGGGGAGCUUGCUCCCCGGGUGACGAGCGGCGGACGGGUGAGUAAUGUCUGGGAAACUGCCUGAUGGAGGGGGAUAACUACUGGAAACGGUGGCUAAUACCGCAUAAUGUCGCAAGACCAAAGAGGGGGACCUUCGGGCCUCUUGCCAUCAGAUGUGCCCAGAUGGGAUUAGCUAGUAGGUGGGGUAAUGGCUCACCUAGGCGACGAUCCCUAGCUGGUCUGAGAGG